UUGCAGCGGGGGCAAACCCCGAGUAAUCGGGGGGCGCAAAGUUAUGCGUCCAGCACUAAUUUUUCCAAAAUUAGUGCUGGGUGGGCAAACUGCCGAA
This 97-nucleotide non-coding RNA is filed under the name Candidatus Omnitrophota bacterium. RNAcentral describes it as "Omnitrophica WOR c-di-GMP sequence". It matches the Rfam family "c-di-GMP-I riboswitch aptamer". From Rfam's summary of the family: GEMM was predicted in a large-scale screen for bacterial structured RNA regulatory elements. Genes associated with GEMM are involved in a diverse array of functions, including chemotaxis regulation, signal transduction, secretion and chitin. The record is from RNAcentral. Lineage: Bacteria; Pseudomonadati; Candidatus Omnitrophota.